ACCUAGAAAUGGAGGAGCUGAUUUAUCUGGGCUGGGUUGGAUCAUGCUUGAGGAAUGAACUUGAAGUAAAACCAGUGCAGGAAAUGGGAGGCCAGUGGAUCAUGGAGCUCCCAGCAAAUGACCAGGUCAAGAGUUUCAGGGUGGAACUCCAUGAUACAGACCGUUCUUCACCGGUUGCAGGCAUUGGCCAUGAAGCUUGCUCAGUUGCCACAGCAAGGAAGAAUCAUUCAUGUCCAGAGAAGCCAACAUAUUGUUCUUCAUCAGUUACUGAACUUGGUCAUGAAGCUUGCUUGGAUGUGGCAGCAAGGAAGAAUCAUUUAGGUUUGAUGAAUCAAGAGGAAGAAGAACAUGAAGUAAAACCAGUGCAGAGAAUUGGAGGCCAGUGGAUCAUGGAGCUCCCAGCAAAUGACAACGUCAUGAGUUGCAGGGUGGAACUCCAUGACUCAGACUGUUCACCAGUACCAGGCAUUGGUCAUGAAACUUGCUCAGGUCCAAAGAAG
RNAcentral lists this long non-coding RNA (500 nucleotides) under Musa acuminata (dwarf banana). RNAcentral describes it as "long non-coding RNA (MACU_LNC002359)". Lineage: Eukaryota; Viridiplantae; Streptophyta; Magnoliopsida; Zingiberales; Musaceae. The record is from RNAcentral.